RNAcentral lists this ribosomal RNA (482 nucleotides) under uncultured bacterium. Its description in RNAcentral is "partial 16S ribosomal RNA". It matches the Rfam family "Bacterial small subunit ribosomal RNA", at positions 30 to 507 of the family's 1533-position model. The record is from RNAcentral.
AUUGAACGCUGGCGGCAUGCCUUACACAUGCAAGUCGAACGGUAACGGGCCUUCGGGUGCCGACGAGUGGCGAACGGGUGAGUAAUACAUCGGAACGUGCCCGAUCGUGGGGGAUAACGAGGCGAAAGCUUUGCUAAUACCGCAUACGAUCUACGGAUGAAAGCAGGGGACCGCAAGGCCUUGCGCGGACGGAGCGGCCGAUGGCAGAUUAGGUAGUUGGUGGGAUAAAAGCUUACCAAGCCGACGAUCUGUAGCUGGUCUGAGAGGAUGAUCAGCCACACUGGGACUGAGACACGGCCCAGACUCCUACGGGAGGCAGCAGUGGGGGAUUUUGGACAAUGGGCGCAAGCCUGAUCCAGCCAUGCCGCGUGCAGGAUGAAGGCCUUCGGGUUGUAAACUGCUUUUGUACGGAACGAAAAGCCUUCUUUUAAUACAGGAGGGUCAUGACGGUACCGGAAGAAUAAGCACCGGCUAACUACGUG